Triticum aestivum (bread wheat) is the source of this 750-nucleotide long non-coding RNA. RefSeq lists it as uncharacterized. The record is from RefSeq and is a predicted model, not a curated record. The transcript has 3 exons. Lineage: Eukaryota; Viridiplantae; Streptophyta; Magnoliopsida; Poales; Poaceae.
UUUUUCCUAUCCCAUCUCUCCAUCCCAUGAUUCCUCUCUGACCCGAGCUCCAUGUCCAUGACGCUGCCGCCGUGACCUCCGGUUCAGCCUACCUCCAGCGCUCUUCUGCGUCGUUGCUCGCUGGCCCCAACUCCCCAUGAGUGCUAUCCUCAGAUCCUCCAUCGCUGCGAGGUCCUCCGGGCCCCUGCACAUGCCCCUGCAGCAACCCGCCACCAUGGGUCACCGGCGCGGCUCCUGCUCCUCCAGUUUUUCGGCUCACUGACCCCAGCGUCUCCGCACGAGUGGCUGCCGCCACUGGCUCAACGGUGCUGCUCUGCCUCGGCUACCUCGACUCCCACGGCAACGGUUCAGUUUCCUAUAAUACUAGAGAUACAAAGCUACACGAAUUUCAUGAGUGCUGGGAAGAUAAACGGCCAGCAAUGAUGGGAGCAGCUCAAUGACAUCACAUAGGAGAAGAUGAAGAGUAUGCACUUUAUUAUGGCGACAACUGGCAGGAACUAUCUUCAGGAUAUGGAGUUAUGGAUGCCAAGAGAUACCGAUCAGUUUGGUUCGAGUUAAUGAAGAUUGAACAUGUCAAUCUAUAUGCUCAUGCAACGAAGCUUUGAUCUGUUUUAUGUACAAAGCACAUGUUCUCGUUAAACACCUGUGUACGAGCUGAAGAUCAGCAAUGCCAUUCUGAUGUGCAAUACUUGGAACAAAGCAUAUCUAUAUACAAUAUCAUGUAUUCCUUGGAUGGUGCUCUUUGUAAAA